This 440-nucleotide ribosomal RNA is filed under the name uncultured bacterium. Its description in RNAcentral is "partial 16S ribosomal RNA". It matches the Rfam family "Bacterial small subunit ribosomal RNA", at positions 338 to 795 of the family's 1533-position model. The record is from RNAcentral.
CCUACGGGUGGCAGCAGUAGGGAAUAUUGCUCAAUGGGGGAAACCCUGAAGCAGCAACGCCGCGUGGAGGAUGAAGGUUUUCGGAGUGUAAACUCCUUUUGUUAGAGAAGAUAAUGACGGUAUUUAACGAAUAAGCACCGGCUAACACAGUGAGAGUAGCCGCGGUAAGAAGGAGGGUGCAAGCGGUACCCGGAAUCACUGGGCGUAAAGAGCGCGUAGGGGGGAUAGCAGGUCAGAUGGUAAAUUCUAUGGCUUAACCAUAGAACUGCCUUUGAAACUGUUAUUCUAGAGUGUGGGAGAGGUAGGUGGAAUUCUUGGUGUAGGGGUAAAAUCCAUAGAGAUCAAGAGGAAUCCUCAUUGCGAAGGCAGCCUACUAGAACAUAACUGACGCUGAUGCGCGAAAGCGUGGGGAGCAAACAGGAUUAGAUACCCUGGUAGUC